UGGCCGUUCUGAGAAUGUCUGUCCUAUGC
This 29-nucleotide non-coding RNA is filed under the name Homo sapiens (human). Lineage: Eukaryota; Metazoa; Chordata; Mammalia; Primates; Hominidae. The record is from RNAcentral.